Molecule: non-coding RNA, 103 nt
Organism: Aedes aegypti (yellow fever mosquito)
Lineage: Eukaryota; Metazoa; Arthropoda; Insecta; Diptera; Culicidae
Source: Rfam
GCGCGAUGGUUUUUGGUGAUUAUCCGGCGGCUCCGGCGGAAUACAAUUCGAAGAUCCACGGACCUUACGAUCCUGCCCGUUACUACGGCAAGCCGGAUACGCC